GGGCCCGCACAAGCGGUGGAGCAUGUGGUUUAAUUCGAUGCAACGCGAAGAACCUUACCUACUCUUGACAUCCAGAGAAUCCUGUAGAGAUACGGGAGUGCCUUCGGGAGCUCUGAGACAGGUGCUGCAUGGCUGUCGUCAGCUCGUGUUGUGAAAUGUUGGGUUAAGUCCCGCAACGAGCGCAACCCUUAUCCUUUGUUGCCAGCGAUACGGUCGGGAACUCAAAGGAGACUGCCGGUGAUAAACCGGAGGAAGGUGGGG
Molecule: ribosomal RNA, 261 nt
Filed under: uncultured prokaryote
Description: partial 16S ribosomal RNA
Rfam family: Bacterial small subunit ribosomal RNA
Source: RNAcentral